UGAUGCCCCUCACCCACAGCUGAAGAUCCCGGGUGGGCGAGGGACGGUCAGGGAUC
Xiphophorus maculatus (southern platyfish) is the source of this 56-nucleotide non-coding RNA. NCBI's taxonomy places the organism in Eukaryota, Metazoa, Chordata, Actinopteri, Cyprinodontiformes, Poeciliidae. The record is from Rfam.